UCUAACCUAAGAGUUUGAUCCUGGCUCAGAACGAACGCUGGCGGCAUGCCUAACACAUGCAAGUCGAACGCUAUCUUUGAUAGAGUGGCGCACGGGUGAGUAACGCGUGGGAACCUGCCUUUUUCUGCGGGACAACGGUUGGAAACGACCGCUAAUACCGCAUACGCCCUACGGGGGAAAGGUCCGCCGGAGAAAGAGGGGCCCGCGUUUGAUUAGCUUGUUGGUAGGGUAAUG
This 234-nucleotide ribosomal RNA is filed under the name Alphaproteobacteria bacterium. RNAcentral's name for it is "partial 16S ribosomal RNA". It matches the Rfam family "Bacterial small subunit ribosomal RNA", at positions 1 to 262 of the family's 1533-position model. Lineage: Bacteria; Pseudomonadati; Pseudomonadota; Alphaproteobacteria. The record is from RNAcentral.